UACGUAGGGUGCGAGCGUUAAUCGGAAUUACUGGGCGUAAAGCGUGCGCAGGCGGUUUUUUAAGACAGGCGUGAAAUCCCCGGGCUUAACCUGGGAACUGCGCUUGUGACUGGAAGGCUAGAGUACGGCAGAGGGGGGUGGAAUUCCACGUGUAGCAGUGAAAUGCGUAGAGAUGUGGAGGAACACCAAUGGCGAAGGCAGCCCCCUGGGCCGAUACUGACGCUCAUGCACGAAAGCGUGGGGAGCAAACAGG
RNAcentral lists this ribosomal RNA (253 nucleotides) under uncultured bacterium. RNAcentral describes it as "partial 16S ribosomal RNA". It matches the Rfam family "Bacterial small subunit ribosomal RNA", at positions 524 to 776 of the family's 1533-position model. The record is from RNAcentral.